This 325-nucleotide unclassified non-coding RNA is filed under the name soil metagenome. RNAcentral describes it as "partial contains 5.8S ribosomal RNA, internal transcribed spacer 2, and large subunit ribosomal RNA". The stretch from base 1 to 120 matches the Rfam family "5.8S ribosomal RNA", at positions 35 to 154 of the family's 154-position model. The record is from RNAcentral.
GAUGAAGAACGCAGCGAAAUGCGAUAAGUAGUGUGAAUUGCAGAAUUUAGUGAAUCAUCGAAUCUUUGAACGCACAUUGCGCCCUAUAGUAUUCUGUAGGGCAUGCCUGUUCGAGCGUUAUUGAGACCUCAAGCUCUGCUUGGAAAUGGGCGCUUGUCUUGCCUUGCAGACUCGCCUUAAAACCAUUGGCAGCUGAUUUACAAUGUUUGGUGCACAGUACAUGAGCCCAAGUGUUGCAAUGAGUGGCCCAAAAGUAUACAAUAGAAGCUUAACCUCGGAUCAGGUAGGGAUACCCGCUGAACUUAAGCAUAUCAAUAAGGGAGGA